AUGGUUUUGGGAGAUUUUAAUGAAAUUCUUUACCCUUCGGAGAAGGAGGGUGGCAUGGCAAGACAUAUUGGUAUGAUGAGAGAGUUUCGUGAAUGCCUAACGGAUUGCGGGCUCGGCGACAUGGGCUAUACCGGUCACAUCUUCACUUGGAGGAGAGGAGAAAUACGUGAACGUCUUGAUCGGGCAGUCCGCAAUAUAGCGUGGGCAAAUAAAUUCCCUAGAACGGCGGUGAUCAACGAAGAACAUGUCCACUCUGACCAUCGCCCAAUCGUUCUGGACACGGAAUAUUUGGAUGGAAAAAUCUUUAAACGUCCGGAGGGGCGUGUUAAACAAUUUGAGGCGAGGUGGUUGAAGGAAGAGAUGGUGACUGAAAUUGUUAAGGCAUCGUGGGAGAAAGCAAAGUUCGCAGGUAUUGGACCUUCACUUGCGGACCGUGCGAGAGCAGUGCAUAUCGAUCUACAUACUUAG
This 468-nucleotide ribosomal RNA is filed under the name Triticum aestivum (bread wheat). RNAcentral's name for it is "partial small subunit ribosomal RNA". The record is from RNAcentral. Lineage: Eukaryota; Viridiplantae; Streptophyta; Magnoliopsida; Poales; Poaceae.